GUUAUAUUUUAAACCAUUAUUUAAUACAAUGUCAAAGCCUAGAAUCAAUUGUAAACGACUUUUGUAACAGGCAAGGUGUUGUAAGUGGUUGAGCAGCUGCCAUACUGCGAUCCACUGAAGCUUAUCCUUUGCUUGAUGAUUCGA
Molecule: non-coding RNA, 144 nt
Filed under: Drosophila virilis
Lineage: Eukaryota; Metazoa; Arthropoda; Insecta; Diptera; Drosophilidae
Description: Eukaryotic large subunit ribosomal RNA
Rfam family: Eukaryotic large subunit ribosomal RNA
Source: Rfam by way of RNAcentral